This 253-nucleotide ribosomal RNA is filed under the name uncultured bacterium. RNAcentral's name for it is "partial 16S ribosomal RNA". It matches the Rfam family "Bacterial small subunit ribosomal RNA", at positions 524 to 776 of the family's 1533-position model. The record is from RNAcentral.
UACGUAGGGUGCAAGCGUUGUCCGGAAUUAUUGGGCGUAAAGAGCUCGUAGGCGGUUCGUCGCGUCGGCUGUGAAAACCCGGAGCUCAACUCCGGGCCUGCAGUCGAUACGGGCGGACUAGAGUUCGGCAGGGGAGACUGGAAUUCCUGGUGUAGCGGUGAAAUGCGCAGAUAUCAGGAGGAACACCGGUGGCGAAGGCGGGUCUCUGGGCCGAUACUGACGCUGAGGAGCGAAAGCGUGGGGAGCGAACAGG